RNAcentral lists this long non-coding RNA (1051 nucleotides) under Medicago truncatula (barrel medic). Its description in RNAcentral is "lncRNA gene28700". The record is from RNAcentral. Lineage: Eukaryota; Viridiplantae; Streptophyta; Magnoliopsida; Fabales; Fabaceae.
ACUGAUUCCAAAUCAACGGCUACCCUUGAAUCAUCAUGAUUAAAAUCAACGGCCCAGUUUUCAGCUGCAUCUAAAUGGAACCUUCCAUUUUGUGGUGAAAAAGCAUGCGCUAAAACCCCUAAUACUCCGUCAAACGGUUCUCCGUCACCAUGAUCGCCGUUGUAGAAUCCGAUCUUAAUAUCCGCCGAUUGAUAUUUCUCCGUUAACCGGAAACUCACCGGAAUCACCUUCGCCCAUCGCGCAAAAGCACGUUCGAAAACCGUUUGAAUUUCUGAUAAACUCAACGUGUCGAUCAUGUUAUAAGGUGAGAAAGCGUAGGUUAAAGUCAUCGGAGAACCACGAAGCCACCGUGGUUUACCGUUGAAGUAAGCAAAGUGUUGCGUGGUGUGGAUUCUAUGAGUUGCUGCUGUAUCGGAAACGCCGCAUCUCGGAGAAACGAUCGUUGAGAUAGUAUUAGAGUCGAGUUUUCCGGUGAUCGGUAAACCGAGGUUUUUCUGAUAAAGUACAACGGCGGAUUGGAAGCUUGAGUCGAACGUGUCAGUGAAAUUCGCCGUGGUUAGUGGCGGAGAGAGGUAACCGAAGCGGUUGAAGUAUUUUUUGAGCUCCGCCAUGCCGCUGACGUGGCUGCCUGGUUCUGCGUGAAGAAACCGCGAGAAAUCAUGCCACGUGGCGUUGUGUUUUUGGGUGGUGGUUAUUACAGUUACAGAUUCUGGUAUGAUCCUCGCGGGAAAACAGGGUCGCAAAAAGAGGGUCAUAAAGAAGAACAAAAAGUUUAUGUAACUGAAAAACUGAAACAUAACUAUUUGUUAUGUGUAGCUAUGUGAAUUAUUAUUAUGAACCUUAUGAUAGAUGAAUUAAUAUGAUUAUGAGUUUAGAAUCAUUUAUAUAUAAGUGCGUAUGGUAUGGGGAAGUUAAUAUGUAAAGAUAAGAAGAUUCUGACCCUUUUGAAGGGAGAUCCUGACUUUAGAAGUGUGAUGGUGGGUAAUGUAAUGUUUCUGUUUGUAAUUAAUUUUAUAAAGUAUAUAGUAUAAUUUUAAGUUUGGCCGUUUAA